RNAcentral lists this ribosomal RNA (950 nucleotides) under uncultured archaeon. Its description in RNAcentral is "bacterial SSU rRNA". It matches the Rfam family "Archaeal small subunit ribosomal RNA", at positions 1 to 937 of the family's 1478-position model. The record is from RNAcentral.
UUCCGGUUGAUCCUGCCGGACCCGACUGCUAUUUGGGUGAGGAUAAGCCAUGCGAGUUGAAUGGGAAACCUAAAAAUCCCAUGGCAAACCGCUCAGUAACACAUGAUCAACUUACCCUAUAGAGGAAAAUAACCUCGGGAAACUGAGGAUAAUGUUCCAUAGUUGAAUUGGCUUGGAAAAGUUUUUCAAUAAAAGGGAUAAGGAAAAUGGUUCUUAUCUGCUAUAGGAUAGGAUCGUGCUCGAUUAUGGUUGUUGGUGAGGUAAAGGCUCACCAAGCCGAUAAUCGAUAGGGGCCGUGAGAGCGGGAGCCCCGAGAUGGGUACUGAGACAACGACCCAGGCCUUACGAGGCGCAGCAGGCGCGAAACCUCCGCAAUACACGAAAGUGUGACGGGGUUACCCAAAGUGUUCUAUUUAGAACUGUGGUAGGUGAGUAAUGUUCCCUACUAGAAAGGAGAGGGUAAGGCUGGUGCCAGCCGCCGCGGUAAAACCAGCUCUUCAAGUGGUCGGGAUAAUUAUUGGGCUUAAAGUGUCCGUAGCCGGUUUAGUAAGUUCCUGGUAAAAUCGGGUAGCUUAACUAUCUAUAUGCUAGGAAUACUGCUAUACUAGAGGGCGGGAGAGGUCUGAGGUACUACAGGGGUAGGGGUGAAAUCUUAUAAUCCUUGUAGGACCACCAGUGGCGAAGGCGUCAGACUGGAACGCGCCUGACGGUGAGGGACGAAAGCCAGGGGAGCGAACCGGAUUAGAUACCCGGGUAGUCCUGGCCGUAAACGAUGCAUACUANGUGAUGGCACGGCCAUGAGCCGUGUCAGUGCCGUAGGGAAACCGUUAAGUGUGCCGCCUGGGAAGUACGGUCGCAAGGCUAAAACUUAAAGGAAUUGGCGGGGGAGCACCACAAGGGGUGAAGCCUGCGGUUCAAUUGGAUUCAACGCCGGAAUCACUAGUGCGGCC